AAGGAUUUGUUUACAACCUGCAAUAGUACUCUUUUAGAUGAUGUGAAGCUUUGAAAAUAUUGAAAUAAGUGAUUGCUCACCUCUCCCCCCAGGUAUAUAGGAAUUGAUUGUGUAUUUGGGGGAUCCUACCCUAAACUGAGAAUUAGAGACUAGUGAAGCAUGGGAUUGUGUGGAUAAUGUUUCUUCAUGUUUAUGUACUUAAAUAAACC
RNAcentral lists this long non-coding RNA (209 nucleotides) under Homo sapiens (human). RNAcentral describes it as "HSALNT0267584". Lineage: Eukaryota; Metazoa; Chordata; Mammalia; Primates; Hominidae. The record is from RNAcentral.